This is a non-coding RNA of Salmo salar (Atlantic salmon), 1369 nucleotides long. The record is from RefSeq and is a predicted model, not a curated record. NCBI's taxonomy places the organism in Eukaryota, Metazoa, Chordata, Actinopteri, Salmoniformes, Salmonidae.
UUUAGGUAUUUGUAUUUGGCGCCACGUUCUACCAUUGGAUAUUGGUGAGGCGUUCCGGCUGCGGAACGUCUGUCCUUUAACCACUGAAUGUGUCAUCAGUAGGUGUUAACCACUGAAUGUGUCAUCAGUAGGUGUUAACCACUGAAUGUGUCGUCAGUAGGCGUUAACCACUGAAUGUGUCGUCAGUAGGUGUUAACCACUGAAUGUGUCAUCAGUAGGUGUUAACCACUGAAUGUGUCAUCGGUAGGUGUUAACCACUGAAUGUGUCAUCGGUAGGCGUUAACCACUGAAUGGGUCAUCGGUAGGUGUUAACCACUGAAUGUGUCGUCAGUAGGUGUUAACCACUGAAUGUGUCAUCAGUAGGUGUUAACCACUGAAUGUGUCAUCAGUAGGUGUUAACCACUGAAUGUGUCGUCAGUAGGUGUUAACCACUGAAUGUGUCAUCUUCAGUAGGUGUUAACCACUGAAUGUGUCAUCAGUAGGUGUUAACCACUGAAUGUGUCAUCAUCAGUAGGUGUUAACCACUGAAUGUGUCAUCUUCAGUAGGUGUUAACCACUGAAUGUGUCAUCUUCAGUAGGUGUUAACCACUGAAUGUGUCGUCAGUAGGUGUUAACCACUGAAUGUGUCAUCAGUAGGUGUUAACCACUGAAUGUGUCGUCAGUAGGUGUUAACCACUGAAUGUGUCGUCAGUAGGUGUUAACCACCGAAUGUGUCGUCAGUAGGUGUUAACCACUGAAUGUGUCGUCGGUAGGUGUUAACCACUGAAUGUGUCGUCGGUAGGUGUUAACCACUGAAUGUGUCGUCGGUAGGCGUUAACCACUGAAUGUGUCAUCAGUAGGUGUAGGCCACAAUGAGUUAGCAGAAAGGAAAAUGGAGGGUAUAAAGGGGGCAAUUUUGGGGUACGACUCUCUUUGAGGUUCCUAGAAGAAUCUGUUGACUGCUGGAAGAAGAUUUUUGCUCUAGUUUUUUAGCUUAAAAUAUAUUUUGAUUUUAAAGUAAAAUUCUAGGAGGAUUCCUUAAGUUUACCCCAUUGAUAGAAAUGUGUUAAAGUAACGUUUUAGAUGCCAUCUGAGGGACUGAUCAUCCUGAGAGCCAAAUAAAAAACAUUUAUAAAGUUGUAGAAUGUAAGAAACUGUUUUUCUUGUUAUUAACAAUUGUGCUUCACAUAAAAUUGUAAUAGACAAUAAAUAUUGUAUUGGCAUCCCCACAAUGGUUGAGUUAAGGGCUGUGACGGGGUCGAUCAAUUUUAUUUACUGUUGAUGUUCGCUUAUCAUUGAUUGGUGAUAUUGAUUUGGUAUUGAUUGAUUGAUCUGGGAUUGUUUAUGCCUGUUUCUGGAAUUUUGAAUAAACUUGCUUUAUUGUUCUGAA